CGUGUAGGCGGCUCGGUAAGUCCGCUCUGAAAGCCCGGGGCUCAACCCCGGGAGGCGGGCGGAUACUGUCGAGCUAGAGUCCGGAAGAGGCGAGUGGAACUCCUGGUGUAGCGGUGAAAUGCGCAGAUAUCAGGAGGAACACCAAUAGCGAAGGCAGCUCGCUGGGACGGUACUGACGCUGAGACGCGAAAGCGUGGGGAGCAAACA
This 207-nucleotide ribosomal RNA is filed under the name uncultured bacterium. RNAcentral describes it as "partial 16S ribosomal RNA". It matches the Rfam family "Bacterial small subunit ribosomal RNA", at positions 568 to 774 of the family's 1533-position model. The record is from RNAcentral.